UACAGAGGUGGCGAGCGUUGUCCGAAUCACUGGGCGUAAAGAGCGUGUAGGCGGCCGCACAGGUCCGUUGUGAAAACUGGAGGCUUAACCUUCAGACGUCGAUGGAAACCGUGCGGCUAGAGUCCGGAAGAGGAGAAUGGAAUUCCUGGUGUAGCGGUGAAAUGCGCAGAUAUCAGGAAGAACACCCGUGGCUAAGGCGGUUCUCUAGUACGGUACUGACGCUGAGACGCGAAAGCGUGGGGAGCGAACAGG
RNAcentral lists this ribosomal RNA (252 nucleotides) under uncultured bacterium. Its description in RNAcentral is "partial 16S ribosomal RNA". It matches the Rfam family "Bacterial small subunit ribosomal RNA", at positions 524 to 776 of the family's 1533-position model. The record is from RNAcentral.